Molecule: ribosomal RNA, 358 nt
Filed under: Klebsiella pneumoniae
Lineage: Bacteria; Pseudomonadati; Pseudomonadota; Gammaproteobacteria; Enterobacterales; Enterobacteriaceae
Description: bacterial SSU rRNA
Rfam family: Bacterial small subunit ribosomal RNA
Source: RNAcentral
GCUAAUACCGCAUAAUGUCGCAAGACCAAAGUGGGGGACCUUCGGGCCUCAUGCCAUCAGAUGUGCCCAGAUGGGAUUAGCUAGUAGGUGGGGUAACGGCUCACCUAGGCGACGAUCCCUAGCUGGUCUGAGAGGAUGACCAGCCACACUGGAACUGAGACACGGUCCAGACUCCUACGGGAGGCAGCAGUGGGGAAUAUUGCACAAUGGGCGCAAGCCUGAUGCAGCCAUGCCGCGUGUAUGAAGAAGGCCUUCGGGUUGUAAAGUACUUUCAGCGGGGAGGAAGGCGAUAAGGUUAAUAACCUUGUCGAUUGACGUUACCCGCAGAAGAAGCACCGGCUAACUCCGUGCCAGCAGC